RNAcentral lists this transfer RNA (72 nucleotides) under Camelus bactrianus (Bactrian camel). It matches the Rfam family "tRNA". From Rfam's summary of the family: Transfer RNA (tRNA) molecules are approximately 80 nucleotides in length. Their secondary structure includes four short double-helical elements and three loops (D, anti-codon, and T loops). Further hydrogen bonds mediate the characteristic L-shaped molecular structure. tRNAs have two regions of fundamental functional importance: the anti-codon, which is responsible for specific mRNA codon recognition, and the 3' end, to which the tRNAs corresponding amino acid is attached (by aminoacyl-tRNA synthetases). tRNAs cope with the degeneracy of the genetic code in two manners: having more than one tRNA (with a specific anti-codon) for a particular amino acid; and 'wobble' base-pairing, i.e. permitting non-standard base-pairing at the 3rd anti-codon position. RNAcentral also lists the same sequence under 2 other names. Lineage: Eukaryota; Metazoa; Chordata; Mammalia; Artiodactyla; Camelidae. The record is from Rfam by way of RNAcentral.
GAGGGUAUAAUUCAGUGGUAGAGUGUGUGCCAGGCAUGCACGAGGUCCUGGGUUCAAACCCUAAUACCUCCA